RNAcentral lists this non-coding RNA (24 nucleotides) under Gossypium hirsutum (cotton). The record is from RNAcentral. Lineage: Eukaryota; Viridiplantae; Streptophyta; Magnoliopsida; Malvales; Malvaceae.
UUAAUAUGUAGACCUCCAUGGAGC